Molecule: ribosomal RNA, 607 nt
Filed under: uncultured organism
Description: bacterial SSU rRNA
Rfam family: Bacterial small subunit ribosomal RNA
Source: RNAcentral
CGAGUAGAGUGGCGCACGGGUGAAUAAAGCGUGGGUAAUCUGCCUUCGAACCGGGGAUGCAGGUGGAAAGGGGUGCUAAUACCGGAUGACAUCCAGGUGUCUUCGGGCGCCUGGAUCAAAGAUGGCCUCUCCAUGGAAGCUGUUGUUCGAAGAUGAGCCCGCGUACCAUCAGCUUGUUGGUGGGGUAAAGGCCCACCAAGGCGACGAUGGGUAGCUGGUCUGAGAGGAUGAUCAGCCACACUGGCACUGACGCGCGGGCCAGACUCCUACGGGAGGCAGCAGUGAGGAAUAUAGCGCAAUGGGGGUGACCCUGACGCAGCAACGCCGCGUGAGUGACGAAGGCCUUCGGGUCGUAAAGCUCUGUCGAGUGGGAAGAACCCGCAUCAGGUGACAAGGCUGAUGCGCUGACGGUACCACUGGAGGAAGCACCGGCUAACUCCGUGCCAGCAGCCGCGGAAAUACGGAGGGUGCAAGCGUAAUUCGGAAUUACUGGGCGUAAAGGGCGCGCAGGCGGCCUGGUAAGUCAGUAGUGAAAGCCCGGGGUUCAACCCCGGAAGUGCUGCUAGAACUGUUGGGCUUGAGUAUGGUAGAGGGAAGCGGAAUUCCU